Cydia pomonella (codling moth) is the source of this 451-nucleotide long non-coding RNA. RefSeq lists it as uncharacterized. The transcript is spliced from 3 exons. The record is from RefSeq and is a predicted model, not a curated record. NCBI's taxonomy places the organism in Eukaryota, Metazoa, Arthropoda, Insecta, Lepidoptera, Tortricidae.
GGAUAAAAUAACAGAAAACCGUAAUUUGGCCUAUUAGACCCAUGUGGCUCCAAAUGCCAUGUCAUGUGCCAAACAUGUCGAGCGAGUGACUAAAAACACAAUGCGAUGCAUCGGAAUCAAUGGGGGCAGCACAUUUCUGCUUGGCUUGAACGGCUAUAACGAACCAAGAUAGCUAGAAAUGAUGAUAACGAUUGAAAAGAAGGAGAUCAGAGGCCACCUGCGCCCAGGAUCGAUAGGCGGGGUCCUCCCGGAUUGGCUGCUACAAUGGGGGGCGGAGCUUGCUGAGGAUGCUGUGUUUGCGAGAAUCUCGGUUUCGACGAGAAUGUGAGCGGAGAACGGGUGUUUUUGCAAUUUAUACCUGAAUGCCUGGUCAUGGUGAUAGAUAAAGUUGGGAUGUAAAAGUACAGGACUAACUAGUAAUACAUAUAAAUUAUUCUUCUAGAGUAAAUUA